Molecule: transfer RNA, 68 nt
Filed under: Ictidomys tridecemlineatus (thirteen-lined ground squirrel)
Lineage: Eukaryota; Metazoa; Chordata; Mammalia; Rodentia; Sciuridae
Description: Spermophilus tridecemlineatus (thirteen-lined ground squirrel) tRNA
Rfam family: tRNA
About the family: Transfer RNA (tRNA) molecules are approximately 80 nucleotides in length. Their secondary structure includes four short double-helical elements and three loops (D, anti-codon, and T loops). Further hydrogen bonds mediate the characteristic L-shaped molecular structure. tRNAs have two regions of fundamental functional importance: the anti-codon, which is responsible for specific mRNA codon recognition, and the 3' end, to which the tRNAs corresponding amino acid is attached (by aminoacyl-tRNA synthetases). tRNAs cope with the degeneracy of the genetic code in two manners: having more than one tRNA (with a specific anti-codon) for a particular amino acid; and 'wobble' base-pairing, i.e. permitting non-standard base-pairing at the 3rd anti-codon position.
Source: Rfam by way of RNAcentral
GGGGGUGUGGCUCAGUGGUAGAGCACUUGCCUAGCAUUUAAGAAACCCUGGGUUCCAUCCUAGCCCUG